CUACGUGCCAGCAGCCGCGGUAAUACGGAAGGUCCAGGCGUUAUCCGGAUUUAUUGGGUUUAAAGGGAGCGUAGGCUGGAGAUUAAGUGUGUUGUGAAAUGUAGACGCUCAACGUCUGACUUGCAGCGCAUACUGGUUUCCUUGAGUACGCACAACGUUGGCGGAAUUCGUCGUGUAGCGGUGAAAUGCUUAGAUAUGACGAAGAACUCCGAUUGCGAAGGCAGCUGACGGGAGCGCAACUGACGCUGAAGCUCGAAGGUGCGGGUAUCGAACAGGAUUAGAUACCCUGGUAGUCCGCACAGUAAACGAUGGAUGCCCGCUGUUGGUACUUGGUAUCAGCGGCUAAGCGAAAGCAUUAAGCAUCCCACCUGGGGAGUACGCCGGCAACGGUGAAACUCAAAGGAAUUGACGGGGGCCCGCACAAGCGGAGGAACAUGUGGUUUAAUUCGAUGAUACGCGAGGAACCUUACCCGGGCUUGAA
RNAcentral lists this ribosomal RNA (481 nucleotides) under uncultured bacterium. Its description in RNAcentral is "bacterial SSU rRNA". It matches the Rfam family "Bacterial small subunit ribosomal RNA", at positions 501 to 985 of the family's 1533-position model. The record is from RNAcentral.